UUCAUUUCACAUAUUCCUCUCUCUCUAGAACAGAAACCUUGCCCUAACUCAAGUGCUCUGACUUCUCUCUAGGUUUCCAGCCAUUUCCACCGAUUGAAUCCUAAUUUGGUGGUGUUUUCUUGUUCCUGGAGUCAAGAGCUACGAAACCAUCCGAUUGGUUUUGCGUUCCAGCGGGUUCUGUACAGUUUCGCACGGUGUAGGGGGUACUGUUAGAGCAUCUGUGAACUGUGUUGAGCAACCCACCAGAGGAGAAUGAGGCCUCAGUGGAGAAUGUCCUGGAGGGGAAUGAGGAAGCAACUUCUUAGUCUCUUUAGGAAUUCCAUAGCUUUCCUAUGUAUCUGAACAAUUCCAGUUCUU
This is a non-coding RNA of Vigna umbellata (rice bean), 357 nucleotides long. NCBI's taxonomy places the organism in Eukaryota, Viridiplantae, Streptophyta, Magnoliopsida, Fabales, Fabaceae. The record is from RefSeq and is a predicted model, not a curated record.